Molecule: ribosomal RNA, 536 nt
Filed under: Escherichia coli
Lineage: Bacteria; Pseudomonadati; Pseudomonadota; Gammaproteobacteria; Enterobacterales; Enterobacteriaceae
Description: partial 23S ribosomal RNA
Rfam family: Bacterial large subunit ribosomal RNA
Source: RNAcentral
GGGGAGCCGAAGGGAAACCGAGUCUUAACUGGGCGUUAAGUUGCAGGGUAUAGACCCGAAACCCGGUGAUCUAGCCAUGGGCAGGUUGAAGGUUGGGUAACACUAACUGGAGGACCGAACCGACUAAUGUUGAAAAAUUAGCGGAUGACUUGUGGCUGGGGGUGAAAGGCCAAUCAAACCGGGAGAUAGCUGGUUCUCCCCGAAAGCUAUUUAGGUAGCGCCUCGUGAAUUCAUCUCCGGGGGUAGAGCACUGUUUCGGCAAGGGGGUCAUCCCGACUUACCAACCCGAUGCAAACUGCGAAUACCGGAGAAUGUUAUCACGGGAGACACACGGCGGGUGCUAACGUCCGUCGUGAAGAGGGAAACAACCCAGACCGCCAGCUAAGGUCCCAAAGUCAUGGUUAAGUGGGAAACGAUGUGGGAAGGCCCAGACAGCCAGGAUGUUGGCUUAGAAGCAGCCAUCAUUUAAAGAAAGCGUAAUAGCUCACUGGUCGAGUCGGCCUGCGCGGAAGAUGUAACGGGGCUAAACCAUGCAC